UGACAAAAAAGUCAAUUCUUAGAAAAAAAAAGUCACAAUUACCUUUUUUUAAUCUUUUUUUAUUCCGUGACGGAAAUGAGCUUCCAUACAAGUCGGAUGUAAUGGAAGGGAGAAACUUCUCUGUCAUUUAAGCAGCACAUUUUACUAUUGUAGCACGGAGUAGGCGCUAUUCCUUACACCUGCUAUGCCUCUUGCAAAAUUUUGCACAUUUACAGGUUGAUUUUAGAUCACUGGAGGGACCAUUUUCAAGAAGUCGGGAUAACCGAGAGCCAAUGUGAAGUGUGUUUUUAAGGUUUUGUCAUGCAGACUUCUCAAAAGGACAAUGUCAUAUAAUUUCUAGUGAUGUCUGUCAAUCAGUUAGAUUCUUGCCAUUAAGCAAAUCAGUGCAAACCUGCAUUAACAAACAUUUCUGACUGCUCCUGUAGAGAAGAAAACAAAAUCAAUGGAUAUCACAUAUACCGUCAGUCAUUACAGUUCAAAUUGUCACCAAAACCAGUUUCUCAAGCAAGUUCUGCAAUGUUUUGAGUUUCUUUGGUGAUCCUGACAGUGAACUUGCACCUUAAGGAUGGAUUAUUUUCUCGCAAGCUCCUAUUUAACGCAUCUAAAUACUCAAACCAACUGGGACAGCAUUAAAAUUGUUGGAGAAGUUUGUGGCGAGCCAUAUUUGAGGACACUGAGUCUUUCUAGAAGUCUGCGAGGAGGAAUAACACUACACAAACUGGUCUUUUAGGUGAUUGUACUGGUUUAAAUGUGGUUUGGCUGCUUUAGUGAUCCCGGCAUGGACGUUUCUUCUCCGAGAGGCAGAUCUUUGCUUGUAUUUUAGACAAAGGCCAAGCUAAUGAACUCAUAUAUGAUCAUUCCCACCGAAUUACAGAACACUACUUGAUAAAAACAGUGUUUUAGCCCUGACGAUGAUGGCAUCCAAGAGCGUCCUGCAUCAUCGACGUAUGAAAGUGGAUGAUUUCGGUGUAACUUCCAUUCCUCCACACUGCUUUUCUUUAAAAUCGAUUCUCUUCCACUGCAUGUGUUUUCAUUUAGCUGGUGAUGUGGCCAACAAUAUCACAAUAUCCAGUUUGUAUAUGGGAAUCUGUUAUUAAAACAUCAAAUACUCA
This is a long non-coding RNA of Sinocyclocheilus anshuiensis, 1112 nucleotides long. RefSeq lists it as uncharacterized. The record is from RefSeq and is a predicted model, not a curated record. The transcript is spliced from 2 exons. Lineage: Eukaryota; Metazoa; Chordata; Actinopteri; Cypriniformes; Cyprinidae.